UGGAAAACACUGGCGUGCAACUGCGCAGCUCUUUUCUUUGUCUUUAUUCUGUUUUUCUUUCUUUGAAACGGGGAGGGGAGGAACGAUCAACACUCCUCCCAUACGCUUCAACUUUCACGUCUGUUUUGCCAUUAUCCAUCCUGUUAAGAUAUAAUUAAUGAGAGCUUUCCCGAAUUUCAGACAUCAUGAAAACCAGCCAAUCCCUUCUCUUUGGAGACUACAUUGAAAAUAACAAUAAAAGUGAGGUGGUGCGGGGCUUUUGAAGUCUUUAGAAAACCCAUCUCUGUGAUCUUUGUUCCGCCGCUGGGGAAAGAGGACAUCAUUGCACGUGUCUGGCAUUGUUCAUGACAACACAGCAACCGAAAUGAAGCGAGAGUUUCUGGGAGUAGCAUUAGGAUGCAGCACUCCUGCUGCGCGUGCCCGCUUCCUGCUCGGCACAGCUGCCUUCUCAGCUGGGGGUUUGAAAUCAGCACUCUGAGAAAAGACAGAAAUGACCGUGAUGCAUGCCCCUCACUAGGAAGAAAAGCAUAACAUGCAAUGCCACUGAGGAGGUGACUGCUGUUUAAAAAGGAGAGGUUCUUUCUUUCUUUGAAUCAACAGAGCAUCUCUGGCAGUGGAGGAGAAAAGAAGCGGAGAAGUAUUUCCCUACAUGCUGCAGGUGGUUGCCAAGGAAACGUCCACACUCCACAAGGUCACCUUUGGAAACAACUGCAAGAUGUCAAGAACAGAUCAAUAGACAAAAGCCAAGAUCUCAGCCCUCUAACACCCUCUCUUGUUUUAAAAUAUUACUCCUAACAAACACUUGUUUACCUAAUUCUGUGUGGCUUGGAGUAGUCAAGUGACGUUGAUGAUGAUUUAAGUCAAGCCCAGAAUUUUUCAAGUUCUGUUCUUUGACGCUUUUGAUGUUUAGUGGGGAUGCUUGGAGUGUGGGAAUGUGCUGGGUCAGCAGCCUGAAGAUAGAUCAAAACCAAAUUACAAAGAUAAGCUCCAUUUAAGACUGCAUUUGUAAGAGACUCUAGAAUGAUCAUCAAACUUUGUUUAAAAUAUUAAGAUUUUAAUUUAAGAAAACACUUUAUUAUAUGCUAGAAAUGUGCAGAAUUUUGGUCAGUCAGUCCAUUUCAUCCAUUCAUCUAGACUCUCAUCAGUUAACUUAUUCAUUCAUUCUUUCAUCAGAUAAUUAUGAUUUCAUACUACGUGCCUGGAAAGGCUUUGGGCAUGAGAAGUGAAUAUAAUUCAGUCCCCACAUCUAGCAUCUAAGAGACCUGAGAGACUCAAUCUGAAGAAAAUGCCAAUAUGGAAACCAGUAAUGGAGUCACUUGCAGAGGGGCACUCAGGGAGUUGCUUAUCAUCUCAGCAACUGUUCCUAAUGGGUCAAGGAAGAAAGGGUUUGGGAAGAAUGUUUACAUAUAGUCUUGAGAGUGAAUAUGCACUGAGCCUGGAAUGUAGUACUGGAAGCUCAUCUUAUGACAGAGGCAGCAGCCAAAGGCAGAAAUGUGAGGAACGAGAUGCACUGGGAUCCUGCUGUCGGGAGCUCCAGAUAGACUAGGGGGAGUUUAGACAUGAGGCUAGAAAAGAAAACAGAAGUGCAUCCAUGAAAGUAUUUGGACUGCAUUUUCAAAAGGUACUGCUAGCUUUUCAGACACACCCUUCAUAUGACAACUAAUGACAUUAUUAAAUAAUAUUCUAUAAUAAAUAACUUUGGCUUUAA
This is a non-coding RNA of Peromyscus maniculatus bairdii (prairie deer mouse), 1708 nucleotides long. Lineage: Eukaryota; Metazoa; Chordata; Mammalia; Rodentia; Cricetidae. The record is from RefSeq and is a predicted model, not a curated record.